AUCAUUCAAAUACACGUGCAAGUCUACCGCUUCCUGUGAUUAUUGCCGUGGCUGUUCUGGUCCCUCUCUUCCUCAUCGCUGUCGUCUGCUUCUGCUCCCUGCGAAGGAAAGAAGGACAAGCAGUCAGAGUGAUCUAUGAAGUUCCCCACACCAACUCCAUCGACUCAGAAACGGACAUACACAGCACCAAUUCUUCCAAGGGCUCAAUUCAGUGGUGCGACGUGGCCACGUACGAUUCCUUGGAUUACUUUGAGCGAGUGGAGACCAAAAAGAGUGGAUAAGAUCUCCUGCCAUAUAUUCCUUCUUGUCAUUUUGUAAAUAAUAUGUUCCUUUAUCUAAAUUUACUCGUUUGAUGUGUGUAAGUAUUACAUAUUUUGUAUAGACCGUGUCUUCAUCAAUCAUCGUGACUUUUUCAUGUAUUCACUUUGCCGUUAAGCAUGCAGUUAUAUUUAAUAAAUUUGAAUAUUACUU
This is a long non-coding RNA of Fundulus heteroclitus (mummichog), 471 nucleotides long. RefSeq lists it as uncharacterized. The transcript is spliced from 3 exons. The record is from RefSeq and is a predicted model, not a curated record. Lineage: Eukaryota; Metazoa; Chordata; Actinopteri; Cyprinodontiformes; Fundulidae.